RNAcentral lists this ribosomal RNA (247 nucleotides) under uncultured bacterium. RNAcentral describes it as "partial 16S ribosomal RNA". It matches the Rfam family "Bacterial small subunit ribosomal RNA", at positions 524 to 769 of the family's 1533-position model. The record is from RNAcentral.
UACGUAGGGUGCAAGCGUUAAUCGGAAUUACUGGGCGUAAAGCGUGCGCAGGCGGUUUUGUAAGUCUGUCGUGAAAUCCCCGGGCUCAACCUGGGAAUUGCGAUGGAGACUGCAAGGCUAGAAUCUGGCAGAGGGGGGGUAGAAUUCCACGUGUAGCAGUGAAAUGCGUAGAGAUGUGGAGGAACACCGAUGGCGAAGGCAGCCCCCUGGGUCAAGAUUGACGCUCAUGCACGAAAGCGUGGGGAGC